This 557-nucleotide ribosomal RNA is filed under the name uncultured bacterium. Its description in RNAcentral is "bacterial SSU rRNA". It matches the Rfam family "Bacterial small subunit ribosomal RNA", at positions 338 to 916 of the family's 1533-position model. The record is from RNAcentral.
CCUACGGGAGGCAGCAGUGGGGAAUCUUGCACAAUGGAGGAAACUCUGAUGCAGCGAUGCCGCGUGAGUGAAGAAGGCCUUUGGGUUGUAAAGCUCUUUUGUAGGGGAAGAUAAUGACUGUACCCUAAGAAUAAGGUCCGGCUAACUUCGUGCCAGCAGCCGCGGUAAUACGAAGGGACCUAGCGUAGUUCGGAAUUACUGGGCGUAAAGCGCGCGUAGGCCGUUGAGUUAGUUAAUUGUGAAAUCCCAAAGCUUAACUUUGGAACUGCAAUUAAAACUGCUCGACUAGAGUUUGAUAGAGGAAAGCGGAAUACAUAGUGUAGAGGUGAAAUUCGUAGAUAUUAUGUAGAACACCAGUUGCGAAGGCGGCUUUCUGGAUCAACACUGACGCUGAGGCGCGAAAGUAUGGGUGGCAAAGAGGAUUAGAUACCCUCGUAGUCCAUACCAUAAACGAUGAUUGCUAGAUGUUGGAAAUUUAUUUCAGUAUCGCAGCUAACGCAUUAAGCAAUCCGCCUGGGGAGUACGACCGCAAGGUUAAAACUCAAAGGAAUUGACGG